CCAGUGUGGUUAGAGGACAAUGCACAGGGGAAGAUGCAAAAGAGACGCGGUCAGAGAAAGAGGCAAAGGCAAAUCUACAGAAGACUUUAAAGAGUUUGGCUCUCUGCACUCAAGAAUGCUUACGAGGGGUAUCCUAAUGCCAUCCUUUAAUUUUAUUAGAGAAUCCCCAACAUGCCAGGUCACACAACAUGGCCGGACAUAAUUUGGGUUGGAAAAAAGAAUGCAGAGCAAAAUUUCUGCUGUUGGUACAGAUGCUUCGAUCAAAUUGACACUGCCUGCUGGGGUCCCGGGAGAAUACUCAAAGUGAACAGAUGUGCCAUGGUUCCCAAUUUUGGUAGAGAAGUAAAAUCCUUGGCCAGAAUCAUCAAUUUAAAUUAGUAGCCGAGCCAGACUCCUGAAAAUUGUUACUGCACUGUAUAAUGACAGUAAAGCAUUGAAAUCACACCUCUCUCACCUCCUUUACAUCUUUGUUCAAAUGUCAAUUUCUCAAUAAGGUGAACCCUGACAAUUUCAUUUAAAACUACACUUGUUUCUCCAACUAUUCACCCUAUUCUAUGACUCUUCACUGCACUUACUCCCUUUCUGAUACAUUAUACAGUUAACUUACUUGUUGUGUUUC
Molecule: long non-coding RNA, 619 nt
Filed under: Callithrix jacchus (white-tufted-ear marmoset)
Lineage: Eukaryota; Metazoa; Chordata; Mammalia; Primates; Cebidae
Description: lncRNA (ENSCJAG00000086811.1)
Source: RNAcentral